Molecule: ribosomal RNA, 626 nt
Filed under: uncultured Novosphingobium sp.
Lineage: Bacteria; Pseudomonadati; Pseudomonadota; Alphaproteobacteria; Sphingomonadales; Sphingomonadaceae
Description: bacterial SSU rRNA
Rfam family: Bacterial small subunit ribosomal RNA
Source: RNAcentral
AGUCGAACGAGACCUUCGGGUCUAGUGGCGCACGGGUGCGUAACGCGUGGGAAUCUGCCCUUUGCUUCGGAAUAACAGUUAGAAAUGACUGCUAAUACCGGAUGAUGUCUUCGGACCAAAGAUUUAUCGGCAAAGGAUGAGCCCGCGUAGGAUUAGGUAGUUGGUGGGGUAAAGGCCUACCAAGCCGACGAUCCUUAGCUGGUCUGAGAGGAUGAUCAGCCACACUGGGACUGAGACACGGCCCAGACUCCUACGGGAGGCAGCAGUGGGGAAUAUUGGACAAUGGGCGAAAGCCUGAUCCAGCAAUGCCGCGUGAGUGAUGAAGGCCUUCGGGUCGUAAAGCUCUUUUACCAGGGAUGAUAAUGACAGUACCUGGAGAAUAAGCUCCGGCUAACUCCGUGCCAGCAGCCGCGGUAAUACGGAGGGAGCUAGCGUUGUUCGGAAUUACUGGGCGUAAAGAGUACGUAGGCGGUUAUUCAAGUCAGAGGUGAAAGCCCGGGGCUCAACCCCGGAACUGCCUUUGAAACUAGAUAACUAGAGUCUUGGAGAGGUUAGUGGAAUUCCGAGUGUAGAGGUGAAAUUCGUAGAUAUUCGGAAGAACACCAGUGGCGAAGGCGACUAACUGG